UUACGUCCAUAUCAUGUUCAAAUACCGUUUCUUGUACGAUCAACGGAGUUAAACAACGUCGAGCCUGGUCAGUACCUAGAUGGGUGACUGCUUGGGAAUUCCCCGUGCUGUAC
Acanthosepion pharaonis is the source of this 113-nucleotide non-coding RNA. NCBI's taxonomy places the organism in Eukaryota, Metazoa, Mollusca, Cephalopoda, Sepiida, Sepiidae. The record is from the annotation of a GenBank genome assembly.